GUAUUGAUUGCGUGUGACCGCAAAGAUAACAUUCUACACUGCAUCAAUGUUUGUGUGAAAACGCAAGCCCCCCUCCGAACAAGCCGAAAGGGGGACCCACGCGGUGGUGCACAUAGGGGUGAGAUGGAUGGUGUGUGAGAGCACUCGGGCGUGCACGACAAAAAGUCAGCGACAGCCCUUGCGCCUCGGUUAUGCGAUAAUGAUCCUUCCGCAGGUUCACCUACGGAAA
This 229-nucleotide unclassified non-coding RNA is filed under the name uncultured fungus. RNAcentral's name for it is "sequence contains ITS1". Lineage: Eukaryota; Fungi. The record is from RNAcentral.